RNAcentral lists this ribosomal RNA (301 nucleotides) under uncultured bacterium. RNAcentral describes it as "partial 16S ribosomal RNA". It matches the Rfam family "Bacterial small subunit ribosomal RNA", at positions 509 to 807 of the family's 1533-position model. The record is from RNAcentral.
CAGUCGCCGCGGGAAUACGAAGGGGGCUAGCGUUGUUCGGAUUUACUGGGCGUAAAGCGCACGUAGGCGGACUUUUAAGUCAGGGGUGAAAUCCCGGGGCUCAUCCCCGGAACUGCCUUUGAUACUGGGAGUCUUGAGUUCGAGAGGGGUGAGUGGAAUUGCGAGUGUAGAGGUGAAAUUCGUAGAUAUUCGCAGGAACACCAGUGGCGAAGGCGGCUCACUGGCUCGAUACUGACGCUGAGGUGCGAAAGCGUGGGGAGCAAACAGGAUUAGAUACCCGGGUAGUCCCUGUCUCUUAUAC